UCAGGACGAACGCUGGCGGCGUGCUUAACACAUGCAAGUCGAACGAUGAAGCCUUUCGGGGUGGAUUAGUGGCGAACGGGUGAGUAACACGUGGGCAAUCUGCCCUUCACUCUGGGACAAGCCCUGGAAACGGGGUCUAAUACCGGAUAACACUCCUGCCUGCAUGGGCGGGGGUUAAAAGCUCCGGCGGUGAAGGAUGAGCCCGCGGCCUAUCAGCUUGUUGGUGGGGUAAUGGCCUACCAAGGCGACGACGGGUAGCCGGCCUGAGAGGGCGACCGGCCGCACUGGGACUGAGACACGGCCCAGACUCCUACGGGAGGCAGCAGUGGGGAAUAUUGCACAAUGGGCGAAAGCCUGAUGCAGCGACGCCGCGUGAGGGAUGACGGCCUUCGGGUUGUAAACCUCUUUCAGCAGGGAAGAAGCGAGAGUGACGGUACCUGCAGAAGAAGCGCCGGCUAACUACGUGCCAGCAGCCGCGGUAAUACGUAGGGCGCAAGCGUUGUCCGGAAUUAUUGGGCGUAAAGAGCUCGUAGGCGGCUUGUCACGUCGGAUGUGAAAGCCCGGGGCUUAACCCCGGGUC
Molecule: ribosomal RNA, 580 nt
Filed under: Streptomyces sp. ACM37
Lineage: Bacteria; Bacillati; Actinomycetota; Actinomycetes; Kitasatosporales; Streptomycetaceae
Description: bacterial SSU rRNA
Rfam family: Bacterial small subunit ribosomal RNA
Source: RNAcentral